Molecule: transfer RNA, 74 nt
Filed under: Pellia epiphylla
Lineage: Eukaryota; Viridiplantae; Streptophyta; Jungermanniopsida; Pelliales; Pelliaceae
Also listed under: 2 other names
Description: tRNA-Arg
Rfam family: tRNA
About the family: Transfer RNA (tRNA) molecules are approximately 80 nucleotides in length. Their secondary structure includes four short double-helical elements and three loops (D, anti-codon, and T loops).
Source: RNAcentral
GCAUUCUUAGCUCAGUUGGAUAGAGCAACAACCUUCUAAGUUGAAGGUCACAGGUUCAAAUCCUGUAGAAUGCU